GAACGCUGGCGGCAUGCCUUACACAUGCAAGUCGAACGGCAGCACGGGAGCAAUCCUGGUGGCGAGUGGCGAACGGGUGAGUAAUAUAUCGGAACGUGCCCAGUCGGUGGGGGAUAACGUAGCGAAAGCUACGCUAAUACCGCAUACGAUCUAUGGAUGAAAGCGGGGGAUCGCAAGACCUCGCGCGAUUGGAGCGGCCGAUAUCAGAUUAGGUAGUUGGUGAGGUAAAGGCUCACCAAGCCGACGAUCUGUAGCUGGUCUGAGAGGACGACCAGCCACACUGGGACUGAGACACGGCCCAGACUCCUACGGGAGGCAGCAGUGGGAAUUUGGACAAUGGGCGCAAGCCUGAUCCAGCAAUGCCGCGUGCAGGAUGAAGGCCUUCGGGUUGUAAACUGCUUUGUACGGAACGAAACGGUGAGCUCUAAUACAGUUUGCUAAUGACGGUACCGUAAGAAUAAGCACCGGCUAACUACGUG
RNAcentral lists this ribosomal RNA (479 nucleotides) under uncultured bacterium. Its description in RNAcentral is "bacterial SSU rRNA". It matches the Rfam family "Bacterial small subunit ribosomal RNA", at positions 31 to 507 of the family's 1533-position model. The record is from RNAcentral.